AACUGAUACUACCUGCGGGAACCUGCGGAAGGAUCAUUACCGAGUUAUCCAACUCCCAACCCCUGUGAAUCAUACCUUUAAUUGUUGCUUCGGCGGGACUUCGCGCCCGCCGGGGACCCAAACCUUCUGAAUUUUUUAAUAAGUAUCUUCUGAGUGGUUAAAAAAAAUGAAUCAAAACUUUUAACAAUGGAUCUCU
RNAcentral lists this unclassified non-coding RNA (196 nucleotides) under soil metagenome. RNAcentral's name for it is "partial contains 5.8S ribosomal RNA, internal transcribed spacer 2, and large subunit ribosomal RNA". The record is from RNAcentral.